Molecule: long non-coding RNA, 719 nt
Filed under: Capra hircus (goat)
Lineage: Eukaryota; Metazoa; Chordata; Mammalia; Artiodactyla; Bovidae
Description: lncRNA (ENSCHIG00000000664.1)
Source: RNAcentral
CUGCAGUAAUUCUAAUAUAGCUCUAAUGAUUAAAAGAAAAAAAAAAACACCCUGGAUAGGAGUGAUUGUGUAUUAAAUGUUUUCCUAACUCUGUUAGGAUAUUUUCAGCUACAUAUUCAAAGUAACAAAAUCCCAGACUGAAAUAGCUUCCACAAUAAAGAAACGUAUUAUCUUAUAUAACAGGAAGAAGAGAGGUAGUGCAGGCUUCAUAUUUCAGCACUUCAGCAACUCAGCAAUGUCAUCAGGAACCCAGGAGCUUUCAGUCUCUGAUCUGCAUUCUCUCACAUAGCUGGUUCUCGUGGCAGCUAAAGUGGGUCAAGAGGAAAGACAGUAGCAGCUUCCGAGACCAACACAAUCCUCAGGAAGUCAUCUCAUCAGCCCAUUCUCCAGUGUCAUGAAAACUACACUUCCUGCCAUUUCAGAGAGAAGGUUAAUCGUUGCCGUGGACCUGCCAGCCAUGGACCUGCCUUAGAGAAUUUGGGCUGUUGGUACAAGCUGGACGACGCAGAGCAGACAGUGAGGGGGUUGUGGGCAGAGCUCCUGCGCUCAUGUUUCCCACUGUGUGCCUGAUGCGCAGCACUUUGGCAGGAAUUUGUAUUCCUUAUAAUAACUGUAUGAUGUUGAUGCAGUUAUUAUCCUUGUUAGACCAACGAGGAAAUGAACACUUAAAGAAGUGAAGUGACUUGCUUAAGGUCACACAUCCAAGGGCAAGAAUGACG